GCCAUGGUGACUCAGUGGUUGAGUGUUGACCUAUGAACCAGGAGGUCAUGGUUCGAUUCCCUGUCAGGGCA
Non-coding RNA from Myotis davidii, 71 nucleotides. NCBI's taxonomy places the organism in Eukaryota, Metazoa, Chordata, Mammalia, Chiroptera, Vespertilionidae. The record is from Rfam.